This 73-nucleotide transfer RNA is filed under the name Aeromicrobium panaciterrae. RNAcentral describes it as "tRNA-Asn". It matches the Rfam family "tRNA". From Rfam's summary of the family: Transfer RNA (tRNA) molecules are approximately 80 nucleotides in length. Their secondary structure includes four short double-helical elements and three loops (D, anti-codon, and T loops). Further hydrogen bonds mediate the characteristic L-shaped molecular structure. tRNAs have two regions of fundamental functional importance: the anti-codon, which is responsible for specific mRNA codon recognition, and the 3' end, to which the tRNAs corresponding amino acid is attached (by aminoacyl-tRNA synthetases). tRNAs cope with the degeneracy of the genetic code in two manners: having more than one tRNA (with a specific anti-codon) for a particular amino acid; and 'wobble' base-pairing, i.e. permitting non-standard base-pairing at the 3rd anti-codon position. Lineage: Bacteria; Bacillati; Actinomycetota; Actinomycetes; Propionibacteriales; Nocardioidaceae. The record is from RNAcentral.
UGCUCGAUAGCUCAGAUGGCAGAGCGGCCGGUUGUUACCCGGAUGCGCCCAGGUUCGAGUCCUGGUCGAGCAG